UACAGAGGGGGCAAGCGUUGUUCGGAAUUACUGGGCGUAAAGGGCGCGUAGGCGGCCGCCUAAGUCAGACGUGAAAUCCCUCGGCUCAACCGGGGAACUGCGUCUGAUACUGGGUGGCUUGAAUCCGGGAGAGGGAUGCGGAAUUCCAGGUGUAGCGGUGAAAUGCGUAGAGAUCCCCAAGAACACCGGUGGCGAAGGCGGCGAGCUGGCCUGUUACUGACGCUGAGGCGCGACAGCGUGGGGAGCAAACAGG
This 253-nucleotide ribosomal RNA is filed under the name uncultured bacterium. Its description in RNAcentral is "partial 16S ribosomal RNA". It matches the Rfam family "Bacterial small subunit ribosomal RNA", at positions 524 to 776 of the family's 1533-position model. The record is from RNAcentral.